GAUGGCGGACGGAACGACUGUGGCUUCCUGACGAAGUUUCUCAUUUACGAUCUAAUAUUGUUAUAGACGAACAAAGACUCGUCGUUUCUAAAUCCCAUGAACCAAACGCUGAAUUUGGAGCGAUGGCGUGUUAGCUGAAGGGAAGAUUGAAGACGUGAUAGAAGAUGGACGACUACUGCUAUGCUAAGAUGGCGACGUCAUGUAAAAGAGAAAGUGAAAGAGAAUCAACUUCCAGCAAAUCACCAACGGAGAUAAAGAUAAAACCCGAAGAUGAGCGAGUUGAAGUUUCCAACGACGUGAUUUUGCAGACUGAAAAGAGCGUCGAUGAGAAAUUAGCCGACUAUGUUGAAGAACGUCAACAAAGGACCGCCAUGAUUGUUAGCUUGAAGAAGGCAGUGGAGUUCACAUCAGAGGAGAUGAAAGAAUGCAAAAGUCAAAUGAAGAAAGUGGAAGAGCAAAACAAGCGCUUGUGUAAAGAAAAGAAUGAUGUGAAAGAAGAGAUGUUGGGGAAGAGUAAGAGAUGUGAAGAGAAGACUGGACCACAUGUCUACAUCAACGUGCAGAGGAUUGGAGACGUCCAGCAGAUGAUUGGUCAUCCAGAAGAAGUUCCACCUCAGCUGCUGGUUGAUGGCUCCUCUUUGAGGCAAGAGCAUCCAUGGUCCCCCCACAUUAAAGAGGAAGAAAAGGAAAUCUUAAUAACACAAGAGACUAACCUCAACCAGCUGCCACUGACUGUUGUCUCUGUGAAGACUGAAGAUGAUGAAGAGAAACCACAACCAGACCACCUCUUAGCUCCACUAUCAAAUAGUGAGGUUGAAGACGACGUUGAAGAACCUUUGAGCAGCGAUACAGACUGUGAAGGUGAUAUGAGGACUCACACAGACAACAAACACUCUGGAUGCUCAAAAACGAAAAAGGGAGAUGUAACAUGUUUGAUUUUCUCAGCUUGUGGCUCCACUCAUGAGAGCAAUUUGACUGGACAGAUGAGAACACACACAGAGGAGAAAUCAUCUAAUUGUUCAGUUUGCGGUAAAAUAUUGUCAUGUAAGACUAGUUUGACAAGACACAUGAGAACACACACAGAGAAACCUUUUAAUUGCUCAGUUUGCAGUAAGAGAUUUUAUUUGAAGGCCAAAUUGACCGCACACAUGAGAACGCACACGGGAGAGAAACCAUUUAGUUGUUCGGUUUGUGACAGAAAAUUUACGUGUAAGAUCUAUUUGAAAGGACACAUGAGAACGCACACUGAAGAGAACCCAGUUAUUUGUCCAGUGUGUGGUAAAAGAUUUUCUUUGAACACCAAUAUGUCAGAACACAUGAGAACACACACAGAAGAGAAAACAUUUAGUUGCUCAUUUUGUGGUAAAAAAUUUCACCAUCAGACAAAUUUGCAAAAACACAUGAGAACGCACACCGGAGAGAAACCAUUUAGUUGUUCAGUGUGCGGCAAAAGAUUUUCCUGUCAGGGAAAUUUGUCACGACAUGCAAGAACACACACAGGAGAGAAACCUUUUAAAUGUUCAGUUUGCAGUAAGAGAUUUGCUGAUAAUGUCAACCUGAAAGAACACAUGCGGUCUCACACUGGUGAGAAACCACUUAGUUGUUCAGUUUGCGGCGAAACAUUUUCCCGCAGAUUAGCGCUGACUGGGCAUAUGAUAACACACACUGGAGAGAAACCAUUUCAUUGUUCAGUUUGUGGUAAAACGUACACCAGCAAGUUCAAUUUGGUCAAACACACGAGAGUACACACGGGAGAGAAACCUUUCAGUUGUUCAGUUUGCAGUUUAAGCUUUUCUGACAGGACACUUUUAAAACGACACAUAAUAAAGCAUUCAGUUGAUCAAAAUGUGGUCCAAGAUGCUCGAGAAUUACACUUACAUUAAGACCCAAGACCACGCACAGGAGAACAAACAUUCAACUGUUCAGUGUCUAGGGGUUUGGAUGUUUCAACAUUUCCCACAAUGCAUUGCCGUUGGCCAAAUUAGAAAGAUUCGUUUGCAUCACGUCCAUUGUUGCUGGUCAUUCCAGCUUUGAUAAUAAUAAUCAUCGGCCACAAUCGAGGUGGGAGAGAUAUUACCAGCAUGGGGUUUUCCACACCUUCCUUUCGGAUUACAGAAGUGUACAUCAAUGAUCAUGAGUGUUUGUGUUGUGACAAUGUUGUAUAGUAGUUGUGUACACAGACACACAAAACUAUGUACCGUAUUUUCCGCACCAUAAGCCGCCCUGGGUUAUAAGCCGCGCCUUCAAUGAACGGCAUAUUUCAAGACUUUGUCCACCUAUAAGCCGCCCCGUGUUAUAAGCCGCAUCUAACUGCGCUAAAGGAAUGUCAAAAAAACAGUCAGAUAGGUCAGUCAAACUUUAAUAAUAUAUUAAAAACCAGCGUGAUGUGGGCGCGCAUGGAGUCGUAUAUCAACAUGGACGGAGCUGCGUGAAAAAAGCCACCCGGCCUCUUCGCGUAAACUUACCUUAACCACUCGCUCAUCUUUUCUUCAUCCAUCCCUUCGAGUUAGCUUUUAUGAUGACGCCGGCUGGAAAGGUCUCUUUUGGCAAGGUCUUCCUUUUGAAUAUCACCAUGGGUGGAAGUUCUGGCCAUUAGCAUGGCAAGCUAGAACCACAGUGAAGGAUGACUUCUCAUUCCCUGUGGUGCGAAUAAUCACCGUACGUGCUCCCGUUGUAUCCAGUGCGGUUCACAGGAAUAUCAGUUGCUGUGAAAUAGUACCGGUAAUCCGUGUGCGGAUGGAGAGAUUGCGUCUUUCAUGAACCGGAUCCCUGACGCUUAGUAGGAGCCAUUUUGUGGUCUUUACAGAUGUAAACACACAAAGGAAAUGAAACGUACGGUGA
Molecule: non-coding RNA, 2841 nt
Organism: Nerophis lumbriciformis (worm pipefish)
Lineage: Eukaryota; Metazoa; Chordata; Actinopteri; Syngnathiformes; Syngnathidae
Source: RefSeq, a predicted model, not a curated record